This 251-nucleotide unclassified non-coding RNA is filed under the name plant metagenome. Its description in RNAcentral is "partial contains small subunit ribosomal RNA, internal transcribed spacer 1, and 5.8S ribosomal RNA". The stretch from base 1 to 54 matches the Rfam family "Eukaryotic small subunit ribosomal RNA", at positions 1778 to 1831 of the family's 1831-position model. The record is from RNAcentral.
GGAAGUAAGAGUCGUAACAAGGUCUCCGUAGGUGAACCUGCGGAGGGAUCAUUACAGAGUUCAUGCCCUACCGGGUAGAUCUCCCACCCUAUGUUAUUAUUACUUUGUUGCUUUGGCGGGCCGUUAGGCUCCGGCCCGACUACCGGCCCCGGCUGGUAAGCGCCCGCCAGAGGACCCAAAACCCUGAAUAUUAGUGUCGUCUGAGUACUAUAUAAUAGUUAAAACUUUCAACAACGGAUCUCUUGGUUCUG